GAUAGAUAGAUAGAUAGAUAGAUAGAUAGAUAGAUAGAUAAAUCUCUUUUAAAAAGAUUAAAACGAACUUCACCCAACUCAGAAUGGCACACAAUUUAGAACUGACAAAUUGUUUAUUUCUAUAAUUUUCCACUUAGUCUUCAAACCACAUGUGACUUCAGAUACUUGAAACCACAGAAGGGAGGGCAGUGAGAGAGAACUGUACCAAAGUAUAGGAAAGGUCAAUAAAUUGUAGGGCCAGCAAGAGAGGAUCUGGGACCAUUGCGUGACCCAAGCAUGAAGGUGAGGGGGAGAAGAGAGCCAGGAACACAAGCGAGAACUUGGCCUUUAACCUUCUGGUACUUUCUGUCCCCCACCCACCAGUCUUUUCCAGGAGCUUCUGGUCAUGCCCACCUGAGAACCAGACCAAAGGGCAAAGCAAACCUGGAAGACAACAGGAAAAUUCAUGCCAAUCUUAUCGACUGUUUACUGUGUUGUCACAUGGGACACAGAAGACAGCUAUCUGUGAACCAGAAAACAAAGACCAGAUGUGCCAGCACGUUGACCUUGAAUUUUCCAACCUCCCAACCAGUGAAAAGUAAGUCUCUGUUGUUUGUAAACCCCCAGCAUCUCAGAGAUGGGAUCUCUGUAAGUUGGAGACCAGCCUGGUCUAUAAGAGCUAGUUCCAUGACAGCCUCCAAAGCCACAGAGAAACCCUGUCUUGAAAACCAACCUCCCCCCAAAAAAAGACCUAUGUAAAUAUGAGUGGGAUCCAAAGCCCUCAAUGUUAUUCUGUCAAGAAUUUCAUGGCCUUUUAUGCAUUUACUGUUUAUUUUAUGAAAUUAUAGACUCCAAUAUUUAGUGAACAAAUAUUUAUAACUGUUAUAUCUUCUUUUUAAAUUUUAUUUUAUGGGUCUAGAGAGGUGGUUCAGUGGUUAAGAGCACUGGCUGCUCUUCCAAGGAACCUAAGUUCAAUUCCCAGAACCCACACAGUUGUUCACAGCCAUCUAUAACUCCAAUCCCAGAAGAUCUGAUACUCUCUUGUGGCCAUCUCAGGCAAUACAGACACACAAUGCACAGACAUGCAUUCAGGCAAACAAUAAAAACAAAUAUUAUUAAAGAUUUUGUAGGGGACUGGAGAGAUGGC
Molecule: long non-coding RNA, 1126 nt
Organism: Mesocricetus auratus (golden hamster)
Lineage: Eukaryota; Metazoa; Chordata; Mammalia; Rodentia; Cricetidae
Exons: 3
Source: RefSeq, a predicted model, not a curated record